This 158-nucleotide ribosomal RNA is filed under the name fungal endophyte sp. ZH6-B1. Its description in RNAcentral is "5.8S ribosomal RNA". It matches the Rfam family "5.8S ribosomal RNA". From Rfam's summary of the family: 5.8S ribosomal RNA (5.8S rRNA) is a component of the large subunit of the eukaryotic ribosome. Lineage: Eukaryota; Fungi. The record is from RNAcentral.
ACUUUCAACAAUGGAUCUCUUGGCUCUGGCAUCGAUGAAGAACGCAGCGAAAUGCGAUAAGUAGUGUGAAUUGCAGAAUUCAGUGAAUCAUCGAAUCUUUGAACGCACAUUGCGCCCCUCGGUAUUCCGUGGGGCAUGCCUGUUCGAGCGUCAUCUAC